This 394-nucleotide ribosomal RNA is filed under the name uncultured Anaeromyxobacter sp. Its description in RNAcentral is "bacterial SSU rRNA". It matches the Rfam family "Bacterial small subunit ribosomal RNA", at positions 67 to 447 of the family's 1533-position model. The record is from RNAcentral. Lineage: Bacteria; Pseudomonadati; Myxococcota; Myxococcia; Myxococcales; Anaeromyxobacteraceae.
CGAGAAAGCCCGCAAGGGUGAGUAAAGCGGCGCACGGGUGCGUAACACGUGGGUAAUCUGCCCUAGAGUCUGGAAUAACUCGCCGAAAGGCGUGCUAAUGCCGGAUGAGACCACGGGAGCUUCGGCUCCUGCGGGAAAAGGUGGCCUCUGUACACAAGCUAUCGCUCUAGGAUGAGCCCGCGGCCCAUCAGCUAGUUGGCGGGGUAAUGGCCCACCAAGGCAACGACGGGUAGCUGGUCUGAGAGGAGGAUCAGCCACACUGGAACUGAGACACGGUCCAGACUCCUACGGGAGGCAGCAGUGGGGAAUCUUGCGCAAUGGGCGAAAGCCUGACGCAGCAACGCCGCGUGUGUGAUGAAGGUCUUCGGAUCGUAAAGCACUGUCGCGAGGGACG